CUGGCUUGGUUCUCCUCUCCCUGUUUAUUUUGUUCUGUAAGUGUGGAGGGGAUGCAUUCCACAUCUGAGUGCCCGUACCUGGACAGGAUAUCAAGACUGCACCGGCCGAUGAAAUCCAUUUUAAAGGUCAUCCAUCGUGGCUGGAAGGAAACUGACAAGCCCCAGAAGAGCACAGGCUCCGGACGCACAGGCUCAGCGGCCAUGGCUCACGGGCCCAGCCGCUCCGCUGGACUGGGGCACGAACCCGUGUCCCCUGCAUCGGCAGGCGGGCUCUCAACCACUGCUCCACCAGGGAAGCCCUGAAUAAAUAUUUUUAAAAAACU
Lagenorhynchus albirostris (white-beaked dolphin) is the source of this 323-nucleotide long non-coding RNA. RefSeq lists it as uncharacterized. The transcript is spliced from 2 exons. The record is from RefSeq and is a predicted model, not a curated record. Lineage: Eukaryota; Metazoa; Chordata; Mammalia; Artiodactyla; Delphinidae.